CCAACCUUAGCUCAGUUGGUAGAGCGGAGGACUGUAGAUCCUUAGGUCGCUGGUUCGAAUCCGGCAGGUCGGA
Molecule: non-coding RNA, 73 nt
Organism: Prosopis cineraria
Lineage: Eukaryota; Viridiplantae; Streptophyta; Magnoliopsida; Fabales; Fabaceae
Source: the annotation of a RefSeq genome assembly